RNAcentral lists this ribosomal RNA (999 nucleotides) under uncultured Fusobacterium sp. RNAcentral's name for it is "bacterial SSU rRNA". The stretch from base 1 to 873 matches the Rfam family "Bacterial small subunit ribosomal RNA", at positions 28 to 873 of the family's 1533-position model. The record is from RNAcentral. Lineage: Bacteria; Fusobacteriati; Fusobacteriota; Fusobacteriia; Fusobacteriales; Fusobacteriaceae.
AUUGAACGCUGGCGGCAGGCCUAACACAUGCAAGUCGAGCGGUAACAGGGGUAGCUUGCUACCCGCUGACGAGCGGCGGACGGGUGAGUAAUGCAUAGGAAUCUGCCCGAUAGUGGGGGAUAACCUGGGGAAACCCAGGCUAAUACCGCAUACGUCCUACGGGAGAAAGGGGGCUCCGGCUCCCGCUAUCGGAUGAGCCUAUGUCGGAUUAGCUGGUUGGUGAGGUAACGGCUCACCAAGGCGACGAUCCGUAGCUGGUCUGAGAGGAUGAUCAGCCACAUCGGGACUGAGACACGGCCCGAACUCCUACGGGAGGCAGCAGUGGGGAAUAUUGGACAAUGGGGGGAACCCUGAUCCAGCCAUGCCGCGUGUGUGAAGAAGGCCCUCGGGUUGUAAAGCACUUUCAGUGAGGAAGAACGCCUGGUGGUUAAUACCCAUCAGGAAAGACAUCACUCACAGAAGAAGCACCGGCUAACUCCGUGCCAGCAGCCGCGGUAAUACGGAGGGUGCGAGCGUUAAUCGGAAUUACUGGGCGUAAAGCGCGCGUAGGUGGCUUGAUAAGCCGGUUGUGAAAGCCCCGGGCUCAACCUGGGAACGGCAUCCGGAACUGUCUAGCUACAGUGCAGGAGAGUAAGGUUGAAUUCCCGGUGUAUCGGUGAGAUGCGUAGAGAUCGGGAGGAAUACCGUUGGCGAACGCGGCCUUCUGGACUGACACUGACACGUAGGUGCGAAAGCGUGGGUAGCAUACAGGAUAGAUACCCUAGUAGUCCUGAGGCGAAUUCACAGUGGAUUCAAGCUGAUGGAACUGCCGACCUCGGUGAAAAAGACCAGAGACCAAUUUUUUGUCCUUUUAGUAGGAUUAAUUAUGCCGCUUGAGUGUGCUGCUGUUUGUGUGUGGCGUGUGAGGGGUGUUGCGUUGGGAUGAUGUUGUGUGUGUGUGGUGUGUGUGCUUGUGUUGUUUGUCUGUUUGUGUGUGAUGUGUCGAGUGUGAGUGUCUGC